Molecule: small nuclear RNA, 324 nt
Filed under: Ailuropoda melanoleuca (giant panda)
Lineage: Eukaryota; Metazoa; Chordata; Mammalia; Carnivora; Ursidae
Description: 7SK RNA
Rfam family: 7SK RNA
About the family: 7SK was discovered as an abundant small nuclear RNA in the mid-70s but a possible function has only recently been suggested. Two independent studies have found that 7SK RNA binds the CDK9/cyclin T complex (known as elongation factor P-TEFb). P-TEFb activates transcription by phosphorylating the C-terminal domain of RNA polymerase II.
Source: Rfam by way of RNAcentral
AGCAGUUUUCAAAAUAAAGCAACAUCUGUCACCCCAUUGAUCACCAGGGUUGAUUUGUCUAAUCUGGCCAGCUAGGUGGGUGUCCCCUUCCUCCCAGACCACUCCAUGUGUGUGCCUCCUGAAGCCGUGCACUUGGUCACUUGGUAGAACAGGAUGACCUUCCCUGACAGAGGAGGACCAUUUCUGUCAAGGGUAUGUGAGUAGUGGUGCUAGAACCUCCAGACAAAUUUUCUUCGCAUCUUCUAAUGAUGAGCAAUUUAACUCUAAAAAUCAUUAUGAAAUCAUGGAUUUAAAUAUUUAAUGUAUUUCAAUCCAUUGAUUAUU